UACGUAGGGUGCAAGCAUUAAUCGGAAUUAUUGGGCGUAUAGGGCGUGUAGGCGGGAAGAUAAGUCAGAUGUGAAAUCCCGGGGCUCAACCCCGGAACAGCAUUUGAAACUGUCUUUCUAGAGGGUAGGCGGAGAAAAUGGAAUUCCACAAGUAGCGGUGAAAUGCGUAGAUAUGUGGAAGAACACCAGUGGCGAAAGCGGUUUUCUAGCUUACACCUGACGCUGAGGCGCGAAAGCAAGGGGAUCAAACAGG
This 253-nucleotide ribosomal RNA is filed under the name uncultured bacterium. RNAcentral's name for it is "partial 16S ribosomal RNA". It matches the Rfam family "Bacterial small subunit ribosomal RNA", at positions 524 to 776 of the family's 1533-position model. The record is from RNAcentral.